GUGAAAUGAAGCAAGAUCUCUGCAAAUCUAAAGCAAAUGUCAAAUGGCUUUAAAGAAGAAUUAUUGAAUCUCACUGAACAACUGAAGCAAAUGAAUAAACAGAAUAUCCCAGAACGACUGUUUGAGUUUUCUGAACAAGUGAAGCAAAUAACCUUGACAGAUAAUGUGGAGACCUCUGAACAGGAAACACGUGA
Cyprinus carpio (common carp) is the source of this 194-nucleotide long non-coding RNA. RefSeq lists it as uncharacterized. The record is from RefSeq and is a predicted model, not a curated record. NCBI's taxonomy places the organism in Eukaryota, Metazoa, Chordata, Actinopteri, Cypriniformes, Cyprinidae. The transcript has 6 exons.